UUUGGAGCAUGUUUUCUGUCAUUUUCUGGACAAGUCUCAGGGCCCAGGGAGAGAAAGGCGGUCUGAACAGCAGCCAGAGGAGGUUGUGAUGAAGGAAUUCUUGACUCUGUCGAGUAGGUGUGUGUGGUCACAUUUUCUGGAAGAAAGAAAGUGAAGUCGCUCAGUCGUGUCAGACCCUUUGCGACCCCAUGGACUAUAGCCUGCCAGGGUCCUCCAUCCAUGGACUCUUUCAUGCAAGAGUACUGGAGUGGGCUGCCAUUUCCUUCUCCAGGAGAUCUUCCCGACCCAGGGAUUGAACCCAGGUCUCCCGCAUUGUAGGCACACCACGUUUUCUGAAGGGCUUUGAAAUCAGUGUUUAUUUGCCGUGAAUAGGAAAAGAGUAGAACGCACAAUGCGAAAAUGGGAAGAACCCUGGACUUUUUGUGUCAGGACCAUCAUCCAAGUCACUUCCGCUCCGUGAGAAUCAGUUUCCACUUCUGUAAGCUGGAUUGGGGUGGCCUUGGCAGUCUUGGUUAAAGGGUAGACAUGGCCGGGACUGCUUCACUUGCUUCUGUCCACACGUAAUCCCCUCUUUAUUAACCGAGUCAUUGAUAGUGGCUUCUGAAAACUUCUUUGGAGAUGGUAUCAGAUAGAUCAUUGCACUUAGCCUGCCUACUGUUAAAAACAGUUAACUGACUUAUUAAGCAUAUCUGCUUACUAGCCGAUAAAAUUUCCCAAAUUGAUGUGCGCAGGCUAUAAAAGCUGUCAUAUUAACAGUAUUGUGGAGUUUUGUUUUUGUUAAUUUGUACUAUCUGAUUUUAUGUAAUAAAGGAUAAAUUUUAUAGACACAAAACAGUGCCAGGAACUGGUUCUUUAUAGCUCCUAGAUCUUUCCAGCUGCCUCCUCUAUUCUUGAAAUAGAGAAUAUUUUGGCCCAGCCCCAGGGUGCCCACGGAACUCUUGUGGCUAUUUUUAUGUGGCCUUCAUCCAUUUUACAUGGGUCUAUCUGCCUCACAUCAACCCCUCUUUUUUACUUCUCAAAUGAGCUUCCCAUAAGUUGGGCUGCUGAAACAAGCAUCACAAACCACAUGGCUUGAAACAACAGAGCUAUCUCCCUCAUCUCACCAUUUUGGAGGCUGAAGUCCGAAAUCAAGGUAUCAGCAGGGUCAGGCUCCUUCUGAAACCUGGAGGGGAGCAUCUUUACUUGCCUCUUGCUGGAUUCGGACGGGUUGCCAGCAGUCCUUGGCUCUCUAGGCUCACGGCUGCAGCCCUUCGCUCUCUGCCGCCGUCUGUUACACGGUGUCCCCGUCUCCUGUGUGUGUCCCAGGGUCCCUCCCCCUCUGGGAAGGACAGCAGUCAUAUUGGAUUGGGGCCACCCUAAUGACCUCAUCUGAAGCUUGAUUACAUCUGCAGAGACCGUAUUUCCAAAUAAGGGUGCAUCCACAAGUGCUGGGGGAUUAAGACUUCGACACAUCUUCUCAGAGGAUGCAGUUCAACCCAUAACACUCUCCAUUCUUGUUUCUCCAACUCCCAACUUGUGUGGGGGACGCGGUGGACCCGAUCAACCAGAAUGCACACUGAGGCCCCUUCGGCUCAGAGUCUGAGGCUCUCAGUGUCCACUGUUCUAAGUUCAGACAUGAGUCAGCUUCGGGCAACUAAGGAGCCCAAGAGAGACUGAUGAGAAGGAGGUUCCAGAUCAUUAUUAAACAGAUAAGAAGCGUGUCCUUUGGAAACAUGAUUCAUGUACAUUCUUGGCAAAGCAGGGGCUGUUUUAUUUUGCUUGUCACAGUCAUCCUUUUUGUCCUCAUUUUUAUUUGUUGAAUGAUUGUUGGUCCAAAGUUUUCUAAGCUGAAUUCCCAUCCUGUUACCCAUAAAAUUGCAUAAAGUGAGAUGCUAGAGUUAAAAAAAAAAAUAACUGUCACAUCACAACUGAUAUUAGAGAUUGGCGAGGCUGCCAGCUGGAGCAGACUAACAAGGAAAAUCAAGACUCCUCUCUCCGUCUUUGUCCUUCAGGCUAAAAAAAGGCAAGAUAAGAAGAGAGAACGUUUUGUAAUGAGUAAGGGUGGCUGCGCCUCGUGAUGGGUCAGCCCUGCGUGUCUGGAGGAGGACUCUCUUUGAGGCCCAGGAGGGAAAACUGUGUCACAGCCGCAGGAGGGGAAAGCACUGAUCGCCAAGUUGAAAGAGGACAUUUUCCCAGAGCUGUAGACCCACAGUCCUCAGCGUGACGGAUGUACAGAGCUGGGUCUGCCUCCCUCCUGCGUCUCCCCCAACGUGACCGAAGGUGGACACCAGAUGUGUAAGUCAGGACAGGGCUGUGUCCCAUCUAUUAGAAAUCUCUGACUUGUGGGCACAAAACAAAAACCUCAGUCAAAGGGAAUCUUCUCCAAAAUUCAAUUGCGCUGUUUCUUUUCCUGGCUUUCAGAAAUCAUUUGUAUAAACCAUGGGUGGCUUAAUCAUACUGUCUUUAUGAAAGCAGGUUCUGUCACUUGCUGUCAGGGCCAGGUAAAAACACUUGGAAUUCACACUGUGUCGUUAUUACUCUGGUCUUCCUUUGCCCCUCUUCAGCAAUGGGCGUUAUGGAUUUGUCAGCGUUUCCGUUGUUAGCUCUUAUUUUCAAGGCUUCUGUCUUAGUUGCUGAAAUUGCAUUGUCCUGGAUGGGAGCCUGGAGGUAAUUUCCUUUAGUGUUACAGUGGCUGCAGUCUUUUAUGGGUGUGUGUGACUGUGCAAGUGAUUUCAAUAUCUUUUUAUUAAAAAAUUAAUUCAUG
This is a long non-coding RNA of Cervus elaphus (red deer), 2743 nucleotides long. RefSeq lists it as uncharacterized. NCBI's taxonomy places the organism in Eukaryota, Metazoa, Chordata, Mammalia, Artiodactyla, Cervidae. The record is from RefSeq and is a predicted model, not a curated record. The transcript is spliced from 3 exons.